AGCGAAAAUAAUUAAUGCAACCUCAACGGUCCGACUUCUCGGUUAAGCAAACGCGACCCGCAACUCCCGCCAAAAAAAAUCUAUUCAAGACAACAAAAAAAACUCACUACCUGUUGUUCACGCCGAACGGGCAUGAUCCUAGUUUCAAACAGAAACCCGCCGACUUCGAGCAAGCUCUCAUUUACCGGAUUAGGGGGGGACUAAUUGUGGGAUACGGGCCUUGCCCUUCAUGCCCAGUUUGGCCCAAGCACAAAAUGAAUAAGUCAAAACGGCCCAUCAGAAGAACGCCCAUCAGAAGAACGGCCCAUCAGAAGAACGGCCCAUCAGAUCGUCCGGCUCGGCCCAAAUGAGAGCUGCUCGGCCCAACAACAUCAAGUCGGCUCAGAUGAAAGCUGCUCGGCCCAGCCCGACAAACUUGAGAGGGUAAAAACGUAAAACCGCAGGGGAGACCCUAGGUCAGCUCCUAGCCUAUAAAUAGCAGAAGACACUAUUGGGAAAAGGGAGCAGGAGUUAUUACCUAGAGAAUUUAAGAGAGAAUAGUUGCCUAGCUCUGUUAUCUCUUGCUUUCCCGUUUUGUAUUUUCUGGUUUUCCGAUUUGUACUUUCGGUUCUCCGUUCUGUACUUACGGUUCUCCGUUCUGUUAAAUUACCGUCUUUUCCGUUCGUCAUUAAUAAAGAAGCUACUCCGUUCUCCCCAAACCCCUUAAUAAUUAUUGUUACAACCUCGGUACAAACAGUUAGCAUGGUUUACAAUCGUUUUUUAGCAUAAGCAAGUGGCAUUGAAUGAUUUACAAGAGAUUUUAAAAGCUUAUAAAAGGGUAAAACAUGAUUUACAAUCGUUUUUAAAGCAUAAGUAAGUGACAUAGAAUGAUUUACAAGGAUUUUUAAAAAGGGUUAGCAUGGUUUACAAUGUUUUUUUUAAGUAUAAGUAAGUGGUAUUGGAAUGAUUUACAAGGGAUUUUAAAAGCUUAUAAAAGGGUAAAACAUGAUUUACAAUCGCUUUUAAAGCAUAAGUAAGUGGCAUAGAAUGAUUUACAAGGGAUUUUAAAAGUGUUUGUAUGGUUUACAAUCGUUUAAAAGCACAAGUAAGUGGCAUUGAAUGAUUUACAAUGGAUUUUAAAAGGGGUUAACAUGAUUUACAAUCGUUUUCAAAGUAUAAAUAGGUGUCAAAUAAUGAUUUACAAGGGAUUUUAAAAAAGGUUUGCAUGGUUUACAAUCGCUUAUAAAAGAUAAGUAAGUGGUAUAGAAUGAUUUACAAGGAUUUUAAAAGCUUAUAAAAGGGUAAAACAUGAUUUACAAGAGUUUUUAAGAAGUUUUAAAAGGAUUUACAAGGAUUUUAAACCUUUGUAAAACUCUUAUAAAGUCUAUACAAUCAUUUUUUAACUCUUAGAAAAAGAAUGGUACGUAUUUAAAAUAGUUUUUAAAGGGUUUUCUAAUAAUUUCUUUUAAAAUCUUUUAAAAACUCUUGUACAUCUUUUAAAACUCUUUAAAAAUCUCUUGUAAAUAUUUUAAAACACUUUUAAACCCUUUAAAAAUCUUUUAAAAACUCUUGUAAGUCUGUUAAAGCCCUUUAAAAUCCCUUGUAAAUCUUUUAAAACCCUUUUAAAAUCUCUUGUAAAUAUUUAAAACCCUUUUAAAAUCUCUUGUAAAUAUUUUAAAAUAUUUUAAAACCAUUUUAAAAUCUCUUGUAAAUCUAUUUCUCGCCAAAAAAA
Molecule: small RNA, 1711 nt
Filed under: Arabidopsis thaliana (thale cress)
Lineage: Eukaryota; Viridiplantae; Streptophyta; Magnoliopsida; Brassicales; Brassicaceae
Description: ATSL101040
Source: RNAcentral